This 358-nucleotide transfer-messenger RNA is filed under the name gamma proteobacterium IMCC2047. It matches the Rfam family "transfer-messenger RNA". From Rfam's summary of the family: Bacterial tmRNA, also known as 10Sa RNA or SsrA, is named for its dual tRNA and mRNA-like properties. The record is from Rfam by way of RNAcentral. Lineage: Bacteria; Pseudomonadati; Pseudomonadota; Gammaproteobacteria.
GGGGGCGAUUUUGGAUUCGACGUGGGUUACAAAACUUGAUGGUGCAUGUCGAGAUGGCAGCGAAUCUCGUAAAUCCAAAGCUGUAAACUAUUAGUUGCCAACGACGACAACUACGCUCUAGCCGCUUAAACCCGGUUAGCGGUUCUUAGCAAGCUGCCCAUACCGCGUUAACAACCGUCAUAUAGAAUGGGAUCGUAGCAAAGCAUGUCUGUGGCGGCGCUACUAAACUUUAAACAGGCUCGUGUUAAUCGUCUUGCCCACCGGGCUGACUAGCAUUAAAUCAAUAGGUGGAUCUAAGCAUGUAGAGCCUCAAGCAGCGGACUGACGGACGCGGGUUCAAAUCCCGCCGCCUCCACCA